This 898-nucleotide ribosomal RNA is filed under the name uncultured bacterium. Its description in RNAcentral is "bacterial SSU rRNA". It matches the Rfam family "Bacterial small subunit ribosomal RNA", at positions 54 to 946 of the family's 1533-position model. The record is from RNAcentral.
CAUGUGAGUCGACGGUGCGGCGUGGAGCUUCUCGCUUCGCCACGACCGUGGCGUCCGGGUGCGUAACACGUAGCUAACCUACCGGCGGGUGGGGAAUAACCCCGGGAAACCGGGGACAAUACCGCAUAUGGUCACGGGGUGAUGCCCGUGGACGAAAGCUGUGUCGAGGGAACUUGAUAUGGCGCCGGCUGAGGGGGCUGCGGCCGAUUAGCUAGUUGGUGGGGUAAUGGCUCACCAAGGCGAUGAUCGGUAGCGGGUCUGAGAGGAUGAUCCGCCACACGGGGACUGAGAUAUGGUCCCGAGCCCUACGGGGUUUAGCAUGGGGGAAUCUUGCGCAAUGGGCGAAAGCCUGACGCAGCAACGCCGCGUGGGGGAUGAAGGCCUUCGGGUCGUAAACCCCUUUUCUGGGGGACGCAACUGACGGUACCCCAGGAAUAAGCCUCGGCUAACUACGUGCCAGCAGCCGCGGUAAUACGUAGGAGGCAAGCGUUAUCCGGAAUUACUGGGCGUAGAGCGCUCGUAGGCGGCUCGGCAGGUGCCCUGUGAAAGCCCCCGGCUUACCCGGGGAGGGUCGGAGCAAACCACCGAGCUCGAGGCAGGCAGAGGGCCGCGGAACGUCCGGGGGAGUGGUGGAAUGCGUAGAUCCCGGACGGAACACCAGAGGCGAAGGCGGCGGUCUGGGUCUGACCUGACGCUGAGGAGCGACAGCGUGGGGAGCGAACAGGAUUAGAUACCCUGGUAGUCCACGCCGUAAACGAUGGACGCUAGGUGUGUGGAGGGCUCAACCCCUCUGUGCGCCGGAGCUAACGCGGUAAGCGUCCCGCCUGGGGACUACGGUCGCAAGACUAAAACUCAAAGGAAUUGACGGGGGCCCGCACAAGCAGCGGAGCGUGUGGUU